Long non-coding RNA from Drosophila ananassae, 1326 nucleotides. RefSeq lists it as uncharacterized. The transcript has 3 exons. The record is from RefSeq and is a predicted model, not a curated record. NCBI's taxonomy places the organism in Eukaryota, Metazoa, Arthropoda, Insecta, Diptera, Drosophilidae.
UUUCAAAAAAAAUAAUAAUAAAUAAAAAAACUAAAAUUGUAAACAAAUACAAUCGAUAUACAUAUCGGCUUUGUAAAUUGGGUUUUUUUUUCCGAUAGUUAAAGCGAAGCUUUUACUUCGGGAGUUGCCAAAUUGUUAAGGCGCGGGAUCAGCUGCAGCAGGGAGGCUUAGGAAAGCUGCAAUAUCAGCUGUUCUGCAUUUCCGGUAACCUAAAUGGAAUGUAGGUUGUUCCAUGCUCGGUCUUUUCUAUCGAAACCCCCCAGAAGUGCAGACGCCCAAAUAAUAUCUCUCUGCAAGUAUAAAUUUUAUCAGCGCAAGAUCAGCGCAAGUGCAAAGUGUUUAUUUUUUUUUUUUAUCAAAUACCGAGUAAGUUGCAGAUCAUGCGUAUGUUUUUUUUUUAUUUACAUGCAUACGCUUAUCUAGAUUUGCAACGGUGAUAAGGGCAGCCUAAGCCUGUGUUUGUGGGUUUUUUUUUUCUUUUGUGUGUCGCGGCUUUAUGAAAGCGCGACCUCGUUGCUGUCUUAUCAAAAUUUAUCAGGUGAAUAUAAAAUUUAUAUUUGUAAUAACUCCAGGGUACUUAUUGUGGCCGUUUUAAAGUUUCGUUGCGGUCCACACCAAAACACCCCGGGAGCGCUCCUGGUGGAGGCUCCCAGUUCAGGAGCGGCUUAACCUCGAUCGGGCUUUUAGUGAAGUGAAGAAAACGGAAUUGGAAAAUAUGAAGAUAAUAUUUAUUUUUUAAACUUUCGCGAACAAAAAUGGUUGUCAGUUUAUUUUUAAAUCGUUUAAUUUUAAUCCUCGUGCGGAAACAAGUUUGUUUUAAAAUUCUACGGUGUACAAAGCCCUCAUUACACUCAUUUACAGCAACCCAAAGCAGAGAUCGAUCUUUCGCCGAUGGAUUUACAGCUUUUAGUGAAGUGAAGAAAACGGAAUUGGAAAAUAUGAAGAUAAUAUUUAUUUUUUAAACUUUCGCGAACAAAAAUGGUUGUCAGUUUAUUUUUAAAUCGUUUAAUUUUAAUCCUCGUGCGGAAACAAGUUUGUUUUAAAAUUCUACGGUGUACAAAGCCCUCAUUACACUCAUUUACAGCAACCCAAAGCAGAGAUCGAUCUUUCGCCGAUGGAUUUACAGUGAGUGGUGUAUUUACUUUUUUACAUAUACACUGGGAAAAAUUUUUCGAGUCCCACCGAAUUUUAAUUCUAUAAUUUAAUGCAUUCAUCCUUCAUCUUAACCCAAACAAAAAUAACAAGAGCACGAAUUUCAUUUAAAUGAUUUAAUUGAUGACUAACGAAUACUCUAUCCGAAUGAAUUUUAAAUAUUAUCAUUUUUCU